Molecule: ribosomal RNA, 680 nt
Filed under: Salmonella enterica subsp. enterica serovar Bovismorbificans
Lineage: Bacteria; Pseudomonadati; Pseudomonadota; Gammaproteobacteria; Enterobacterales; Enterobacteriaceae
Description: partial 23S ribosomal RNA
Rfam family: Bacterial large subunit ribosomal RNA
Source: RNAcentral
GGGCGUUAAGUUGCAGGGUAUAGACCCGAAACCCGGUGAUCUAGCCAUGGGCAGGUUGAAGGUUGGGUAACACUAACUGGAGGACCGAACCGACUAAUGUUGAAAAAUUAGCGGAUGACCUGUGGCUGGGGGUGAAAGGCCAAUCAAACCGGGAGAUAGCUGGUUCUCCCCGAAAGCUAUUUAGGUAGCGCCUCGUGAAUUCAUCUCCGGGGGUAGAGCACUGUUUCGGCUAGGGGGCCAUCCCGGCUUACCAACCCGAUGCAAACUGCGAAUACCGGAGAAUGUUAUCACGGGAGACACACGGCGGGUGCUAACGUCCGUCGUGAAGAGGGAAACAACCCAGACCGCCAGCUAAGGUCCCAAAGUCAUGGUUAAGUGGGAAACGAUGUGGGAAGGCCCAGACAGCCAGGAUGUUGGCUUAGAAGCAGCCAUCAUUUAAAGAAAGCGUAAUAGCUCACUGGUCGAGUCGGCCUGCGCGGAAGAUGUAACGGGGCUAAACCAUGCACCGAAGCUGCGGCAGCGAACGUAUCACUUAAAGCGAUUCAGCGGAUGACGAUUGACGGAGCGAAGCGACGUCAAAGCGUAUACAAAGUCGAGUCGGUUUAAGGAUACGUUCGUUGGGUAGGGGAGCGUUCUGUAAGCCUGUGAAGGUGGCCUGUGAGGGUUGCUGGAGGUAUCAG